UGCAAGUCGAGCGGCAGCACGGGUACUUGUACCUGGUGGCGAGCGGCGGACGGGUGAGUAAUGCCUAGGAAUCUGCCUGGUAGUGGGGGAUAACGUCCGGAAACGGGCGCUAAUACCGCAUACGUCCUACGGGAGAAAGUGGGGGAUCUUCGGACCUCACGCUAUCAGAUGAGCCUAGGUCGGAUUAGCUAGUUGGUGAGGUAAUGGCUCACCAAGGCGACGAUCCGUAACUGGUCUGAGAGGAUGAUCAGUCACACUGGAACUGAGACACGGUCCAGACUCCUACGGGAGGCAGCAGUGGGGAAUAUUGGACAAUGGGCGAAAGCCUGAUCCAGCCAUGCCGCGUGUGUGAAGAAGGUCUUCGGAUUGUAAAGCACUUUAAGUUGGGAGGAAGGGCAGUUACCUAAUACGUGAUUGUUUUGACGUUACCGACAGAAUAAGCACCGGCUAACUCUGUGCCAGCAGCCGCGGUAAUACAGAGGGUGCAAGCGUUAAUCGGAAUUACUGGGCGUAAAGCGCGCGUAGGUGGUUUGUUAAGUUGGAUGUGAAAGCCCCGGGCUCAACCUGGGAACUGCAUCCAAAACUGGCAAGCUAGAGUAUGGUAGAGGGUGGUGGAAUUUCCUGUGUA
Molecule: ribosomal RNA, 628 nt
Filed under: Pseudomonas protegens
Lineage: Bacteria; Pseudomonadati; Pseudomonadota; Gammaproteobacteria; Pseudomonadales; Pseudomonadaceae
Description: bacterial SSU rRNA
Rfam family: Bacterial small subunit ribosomal RNA
Source: RNAcentral